Capsicum annuum is the source of this 1042-nucleotide long non-coding RNA. RefSeq lists it as uncharacterized. The transcript is spliced from 2 exons. NCBI's taxonomy places the organism in Eukaryota, Viridiplantae, Streptophyta, Magnoliopsida, Solanales, Solanaceae. The record is from RefSeq and is a predicted model, not a curated record.
ACAAAAACCUUAAUAUCACUAUUCUCUCAACAGUCACAUCUCUCUCUACCUUCUCUCUAUCUCUCUUUCUCUCUCUAAUCCGAUGAAAACUGCCACUCCCUCGACUUUUACGCCUCUUCCACCGACAAAGACACCACUAAAAGCCUAUGUCAGAUGAGACCUGCCGACCAUCCCAUUAUCGCCGUCGUCCGUACCUCUAACGCCGCCAGCCACCACUGCAAGCAGCCAUGCAGCCGGCGAUCCUCCCAAUGCUGCUGCCACCUUCGAGGCCCCCUACCGACAACAAUAUCAAUGACCAAGCCGCCAACAAUACCAGCACUGUCGUCGCCUUCUAGCGCUGCCACUUCCCAAGCCGCCUUCCCUCACAUGCAACUGACACCGGCGAACCAGCAGCCCGUGCCACCACAACAACACCAACAGCCAUCCUUAUCUCUCACGCCACCACUGUCACUCCGACGCCCUUGACUCCGAUUGGAAUUCACUGUAAAAUCAUUUACUAGUACAUGAAAGAUGUACCGAUGUAAAUUCGUCACAGACACUUUUCAUCGAAUACUUUGACUCACUUCUAGUUACAUCUUCCCCUAUUAAAGUUCAUAAUUAUUUUCAAACUCCUCGGGCAUUUUCGAUUUUGAAGAAGACAGUCGGUUCCACUCUGCUUUUUCAAUCUCUUUGCUUAAAGGUCUUCUUUAUUAUCUUUCUUUGGGGCUUACCGGUAAGAUUCUAUCGAUGUAAUUUUCUUGCGCUACGUGAUAACUUUGUGAUAUUAGAAAAUAUGACUAUAGGAUUAUUCAAUGCUUACUUGUUCUACGUUUAAUUAUGCUCUAUCUUGAACCCCUUUCUUUUGUGUUCUUUCGCUCCGCUGCUGUGUUUGUCCUAACAGAUGAAACUAAAGUGGUGUUUUGAAGAGUCACUCGAAAUGGGAAAGGAGGCUCCCACUUAAGUGUAGUUUAUUUUAUUUAGUAUGUAAGAAGUUAUUUGUUCAAACAUUAUUCUGAUGUAAUAAUAAAAUUGGGGACCCUCGAGGGAGGGGUUAUGUGCUCUA